RNAcentral lists this ribosomal RNA (730 nucleotides) under uncultured archaeon. Its description in RNAcentral is "bacterial SSU rRNA". It matches the Rfam family "Archaeal small subunit ribosomal RNA", at positions 119 to 849 of the family's 1478-position model. The record is from RNAcentral.
GACUGGGAUAACCCUGGGAAACUGGGGAUAAUACUAGAUAGGCAAUUUUUCCUGGAAUGGUUUUUUGUUUAAAUGUUUUUUCGCCUAAGGAUGGGUCUGCGGCCGAUUAGGUAGUUGGUUAGGUAACGGCUUACCAAGCCGUUGAUCGGUACGGGUUGUGAGAGCAAGAGCCCGGAGAUGGAACCUGAGACAAGGUUCCAGGCCCUACGGGGUGCAGCAGGCGCGAAACCUCCGCAAUGUGAGAAAUCGCGACGGGGGGAUCCCAAGUGCCAUUCUUAACGGGAUGGCUUUUCAUUAGUGUAAAGAGCUUUUGGAAUAAGGGCUGGGCAAGACCGGUGCCAGCCGCCGCGGUAACACCGGCAGCUCUAGUGGUAGCAGUUUUUAUUGGGCCUAAAGCGUCCGUAGCCGGUUUAAUAAGUCUCUGGUGAAAUCCUGUAGCUUAACUGUGGGAAUUGCUGGAGAUACUAUUAGACUUGAGACCGGGAGAGGUUAGAGGUACUCCCAGGGUAGAGGUGAAAUUCUGUAAUCCUGGGAGGACCGCCUGUUGCGAAGGCGCCUAACUGGAACGGUUCUGACGGUGAGGGACGAAAGUUAGGGGCGCGAACCGGAUUAGAUACCCGGGUAGUCCUAACUGUAAACGAUGCGGACUUGGUGUUGGGGUGGCUUUGAGCUGCUCCAGUGCCGAAGGGAAGCUGUUAAGUCCGCCGCCUGGGAAGUACGGUCGCAAGAC